ACGGAGGGUGCAAGCGUUAAUCGGAAUUACUGGGCGUAAAGCGUACGCAGGCGGUUUGUUAAGUUAGAUGUGAAAUCCCCGGGCUCAACCUGGGAACUGCAUUCGAUACUGGCAAGCUUGAGUAUCGUAGAGGGGGGUAGAAUUCCAGGUGUAGCGGUGAAAUGCGUAGAGAUGUGGAGGAAUACCGAUGGCGAAGGCGGCCCCCCGGACUAAUACUGACGCUCAGGUGCGAAAGCGUGGGUAGCAAACAG
This 251-nucleotide ribosomal RNA is filed under the name uncultured prokaryote. Its description in RNAcentral is "partial 16S rRNA". It matches the Rfam family "Bacterial small subunit ribosomal RNA", at positions 525 to 775 of the family's 1533-position model. The record is from RNAcentral.